Molecule: ribosomal RNA, 608 nt
Filed under: uncultured Thermoleophilum sp.
Lineage: Bacteria; Bacillati; Actinomycetota; Thermoleophilia; Thermoleophilales; Thermoleophilaceae
Description: bacterial SSU rRNA
Rfam family: Bacterial small subunit ribosomal RNA
Source: RNAcentral
ACCAGCAAGUCGACGAUUCCUACGGGAGGCAGCAGUGGGGAAUAUUGCGCAAUGGCCGCAAGGCUGACGCAGCGACGCCGUGUGUGGGAUGAAGGCCUUCGGGUUGUAAACCACUGUCAGGGGGGACGAAUACCCGGCCUCGAAUAGGGGACCGGGGGUGACGGUACCCCCAGAGGAAGCACCGGCUAACUACGUGCCAGCAGCCGCGGUAAUACGUAGGGAGCGAGCGUUAUCCGGAAUUAUUGGGCGUAAAGAGUGCGUAGGCGGUUUAUUAAGUCAAAUGUGAAAGCCCACAGCUUAACUGUGGAGGGUCAUUUGAAACUGGUAAACUUGAGUACGGUAGAGGCAAGUGGAAUUUCUUGUGUAGCGGUAAAAUGCGUAGAUAUAAGAAGGAACACCAGUGGCGAAGGCGGUUCUCUGGGCCUGUAUUGACGCUGAGGAGCGAAAGCGUGGGGAGCAAACAGGAUUAGAUACCCUGGUAGUCCACGCCGUAAACGUUGGGUACUAGGUGUGGCGAUCCGUCUAACGAUUGCCGUGCCGAAGCUAACGCAUUAAGUACCCCGCCUGGGGAGUACGGCCGCAAGGCUAAAACUCAAAGGAAUUGACGG